UUUCAGAAGAGAACUUUUAGUUCGUAGAUACACUUGAUGAAAUUUAAGUUUAGAAAAUAUAUUGGGCCAGAAUUUUAAUGUGAAGGUAUGAAUUUAAAUGUUAUAAAAAAUUAAAUAACUUUUAUUUUAAAUGACUCAGAAUUAACUGUAGUUAUGUAUAACUAAUAUAAUACUUAAUAUUAAAUAAAACAUAAUAAAUAAUUUAGAUGUUUUCCUUUUUAAGGUACUCUUUCAAGGCUUUAAUAGGAAAGAUUAUGGAGCAUUUGAAUAAGGGAAAGAAAGCCAAUGAGGCUGGGUUAUGAGAGGCAAACUAGAAAGGUAGACAGAGACCCGAUCACGGUUGGUGUCCAAGGCUCUCUGAAACGUUUUUAUGUUAUUCUCUAGGAGGCAUGAUCAUCUUCUGAUGUCUGACAUUUAAUAUCUCUGUAAUAUUAUGCAAGUUAAUUAGCCUACAUCAACACAACAGUGUUUCCAUCUGUACUAUGCAAAUAAUAACUGCUUGCUUUGAAAAUAAUAGUAACUGCUUCCUUGGGUUGUUGGAAGAAUAAAAGAGAUCAUUUAUAUUACCUAAGUAAAAUGCUUAGUACAUAUCACUCAACAAAUGUAAACUCUUGAUAGGAUCAGUGUUUUGCAGGGUGACCCAUGCAGACAGGAGAAAUUAGAGGGCAUUAAAAGACAGAUUCACAAGAGAAAGCAACACUUAAUUAUGUUGGUUGGCAUGGAAAUUCACAAGGAAAUGAGACUCGAGGUGGUUAGAAUUUGGGGCUUAUAUACUGUAUUAGUCCAUUCUCAUGCUGCUAAUAAAGACAUACCUGAGGCUGGGUAAUUAAAAAAAAAAAAGAAAAAAAGAAAAAAAAAAGGAAAUUAGAGGGCAUUAGUAAUCACACAGAUAAAGGAAGGUGUCUCUAUGAAGAUUAAACAUGUAUUGUAAUUACUGGAGAAUAUUUGCUUGCCUAAAAUAUUCUCUCCCUAGCCAGAUUCCUUCACCGUUUCUGACUAAACAUAGAAUCACUAAAAAUAGAACGACACAACCACAAUAUCAUCUUCUCAGGCAAUUCCAGCCUACUUUCUCAGCAAAAGCAGUUUCUUCUCUUUCUGGCUGCAUUCCUUGCAGGCAAUCCGAGCUGCUUGCAAGAAAACAAAGUUCCUUGCUCAUCUUUGCAGUCCUGAAACCUAUUGCUGAGGCAAUGCUUUGCCCCAGUCCUGACG
Molecule: long non-coding RNA, 1209 nt
Filed under: Homo sapiens (human)
Lineage: Eukaryota; Metazoa; Chordata; Mammalia; Primates; Hominidae
Description: HSALNT0252650
Source: RNAcentral